This 2692-nucleotide unclassified non-coding RNA is filed under the name Hevea brasiliensis (rubber tree). The record is from RNAcentral. Lineage: Eukaryota; Viridiplantae; Streptophyta; Magnoliopsida; Malpighiales; Euphorbiaceae.
GAGAGAGAGAGAAUUUUUGAAAUAGCCAGUAUAGUAAAAUUUGGGAUACAUUUCUUAUGAUUUUAGCAGCAUUUUGUUGUUUUGAUUACAAUUUGGCUAUUUUGGUCUCUUUGUGUAAAUGUAAGGUUUAAGUACUAAGCCAAGUUUUAGUAUUUUAAGUCAAUGAGUCUCUUUGGUUGUGAAACAAGGACUAGGUAACCCAAAAAGGUUCCCUUCUAGUGUUGGAUCUAAACUUUGGUUCAAAAAUGAAAAAUGAAUAAACAAAGUAAAGGCAAACAGGGUAAAGGUUCGAGAGGCAAUAUAGGCUGCUUAAAAUGAGCUCGGUCAUAAGAUUAAAUGAAUGGAAAGAAAAAAAAAAAGAAGUUAAUGUUAGCCUGUAACCCUUAGAAUGUUAAUAAAAAUGUAUGCAGACCAAGCUCCAAACUUAACACCAAUGGGAACAGGGUUGCAUGAGAAUGAAAAAUGUAUGUGAUAGUAAGGUGAAACACAGUGUGAUAGUGUGCUUGAUCAGAGAAAGGCAUAGGUAUGUGAGGAGUGAGUCAUGUCAGUAUAGUUGCCUAGAGGAGGGCAUAAUUGCUAAUAUAGGCAGAAUGCCAGAUAAAUGUCUUAUUAGGGCAUGAUUUUUGCCUAAGUAUCAUAGAUAGUUCAGAGGUCUAGGACCCUACUCAUACUUCUAAAUGUUGACACUGUAAGCUGCAGAUUAUAGUUUCAACAUGAGGGAGUUGGGCUGAGCAUGCCACUUGGUAGCAUCCAAGGAGGAUGCAUGUAUAGUUAGUUCCCACCAUAGUAUAGUUCUGCUUAGAGCUUGAGAACUCUUGCAAAGGAGUUAGAAACUCUAACCCUCGAGGUAGAAAGUUGAAAAUCACUGAAGGUAAAAGAGAGAUUGAGUGACCUUGUCACUUUAAGGGGGAACUUUUGGUCUCUAGUAUGAGGCCCUUGAUAAGUCUAGACUAUGAUAGUUAUUUUGCUCAAGUGCUAGUAGGAAUAAUACCCACUUGUAUGUUAGUAACAUGUAGAGUAUCUCUUUACUCUCUAAGGAAUGGCACGAAGUUAUGAACAGUGUUCAUAACUCAUAAAAUGAUAUCACAAAUGGAAUAGCAAAAUGAUUAAAAAGUAGUUGCCUAAGGUGCCCCAAUGAGGGUAUAAGUUUAAGAGGAGAGUAGAAAGAGAUACCAUGUUAUGAAUGGAGUAAAGCUGUGAAGCUUAAUGGAAGGUUUAGGUACCCAGUACCCUGAAUUAUGAUUGUUUAAGUAUAAAGAUGGGAGUUAGGGUGGUUAAGGCUCGAGUCCAAUUGAGUGAAAAGCUCAAGUAUCAGUAGGAAUGUGAGUUAAAGUGGACAAAAGUUCAAUAAUGAGUAUGCAAAUGAUGGGAACAACCUAACAGAUACCAUAUUAAGAUAAAAUCAUUAAGUGGGAUUAUCAGGGUAGAAGACAAAGAAUGGAAUUAAGGGAAGAAGUAGUUAAGUACUAUGCUAGGUAAGAUAAGUGAGGUGAACUAAGAGAGAGAAUAAGAUUGGAAGACCUAAAACAGGAUAUGGUUAGGGAGAACAUGGGGCAAGGAUGCUAGUAAGUCAAGUACACACACCCCAAAAUCCAAUGUGUUGGUGGUGUGGAGAUGUCAGCUUCUAAUAAAGUAGAAACAAAAAGCUUAUGAGCAGAAUAAGAGGGCUUAGAAAAGAACUAUUUUGCUAGAAGGUGCGGGACAUGGACCAGGGCCUCUUAGUACUUUGAUCAUAAGGUAAAGUGGGUAACAAUGGGACAAAAUUCCCAUUAGUCUAUGAUAGAGUCAAAAAGUUAAGCAAGAAAUGCACUUAGAGUGUAUAGAAGUGAAAGUGUAUGUAAUGGUGUCUUGAACUGUUAGAUGAGGCAUUGAAGUGGAUCUGGUGGGUAGUAAGAUGAAAAGAGGUCAAUCUAAUGAUUCAUAUAUAUAAGAGAGAAGAAGGAAGGAAUAGAGGCACAGAGCCUUAAGUUGAAGUGCAAAAAUAUCAAGGAUUGUAGUCAAGUUUAGAAAUCAUAAGUGCAGUAUCUGGACUAGAUUACAUGAAGUUCUAAUAAAGUUACAAAAUGGAGUUAUCAUUAGUAAGUGAAACCCCAUUGAUGGUGAUAAUUAAAGGAACACCUGGAGUAACAAAAUAGUAGUAGGAGAUAUAACAAACAAGUGGAAAAUAGAAGUGCUAGUCCUAGAUCACUAAGAAAAACAAGGACUUGAGCUAUGGCAUUAGAUAUGAUGGGAAUUGACUCUAGGAAACUAGAUGGUAAGAAAUUAUCUCUAGGAUGUAGAAAGAAACAAGAAUAUAAGGGCUUAGUGAGCAUAAGUUCGACAUCCAAAAGGUGGAACUUUGGCAAUCAAACCCACAUGAACAAUUGUGUGAACAGUAGUGUAAAUAGUCACAUGAAUAGUGAGCACCUUCAUAAGUUGAAAGUCUAUAUUUCGGCUAUCGAAAUGGUCCUGCUUGCACUAUGAAACUUUAUGCAGUUUUGUUGAACCCUAUACAUGAUGCUACUUUAGCGGAUAGAGAUUUGGAGGUUCUGUGGGUAGCAUUCCCCAUAAUUUUGUAAGGUUCACCAUUUAAGUGAAGGUGAUACUGAGGGUGAAAGAAUAAUCAGAAUGGUGACAAGGAAUAGCUAAAGCUAGUUAUUAGGGCUUUUAGUCCCUUUUAACUAAGAGAAGGAGAAAAGAAUAACAUAUUUGA